AGGACGAACGCUGGCGGCGUGCUUAACACAUGCAAGUCGAACGGUGACCUCGAGAGCUUGCUCUUGGGUGAGCAGUGGCGAACGGGUGAGUAACACGUGAGUAACCUGCCCCAGACUCUGGAAUAAGCGCUGGAAACGGCGUCUAAUACCGGAUAUGACACUAAACCGCAUGGUUAUGGUGUGGAAAGUUUUUCGGCUGGGAUGGACUCGCGGCCUAUCAGCUUGUUGGUGAGGUAAUGGCUCACCAAGGCGAUGACGGGUAGCCGGCCUGAGGAGGGCGAGUCGGACCGACGACUGGGACUGAGACACGGCCCAGACUCCGUACGGGAGGCAGCAGUGGGAAUAUUGCACAAGUGGGACGAAAGCCUAGAUGCAGCGACGCCGCGUGGAGGAUGACGGUCCGUUCGGUUCGUAAACCGUCGUUCCGAGCGAGGAAGAGACGAAGU
This 446-nucleotide ribosomal RNA is filed under the name uncultured soil bacterium. RNAcentral's name for it is "bacterial SSU rRNA". It matches the Rfam family "Bacterial small subunit ribosomal RNA", at positions 26 to 459 of the family's 1533-position model. The record is from RNAcentral.